This 354-nucleotide ribosomal RNA is filed under the name Triticum aestivum (bread wheat). RNAcentral's name for it is "partial small subunit ribosomal RNA". The record is from RNAcentral. Lineage: Eukaryota; Viridiplantae; Streptophyta; Magnoliopsida; Poales; Poaceae.
AUCCGUAUUUGUGAGGAUGUGACCAUCGUAGUUGCAAAUGUUACUAUCUUGAUAGAUUUUGUUACACUUGAUACUCCCGAGGACGAGAACAUAUCGAUUAUCUUUGGUAGAUGCUUCUUGGAUACUCCAGGGGUUGUUAUUGAUUGCAACAAAAGCAAGGUCACUUUUCAUAUCAAUGGUACUGAGCAAACAGUACACUUUCCGAAGAAGCAAUUUCAAGUGAAUGGUAUUAAUGUUAUUGAAAAUGGUCCAACAAUUAUUAUUGGAACUUUUGAACUCCCUCUUCCUACUGUCAAAAAUAAAUAUGAAACUCUUAUUAUUUUGGAUAUGUGUAUCCCCAUUGAGGUAACCUAG